RNAcentral lists this ribosomal RNA (497 nucleotides) under Pediococcus pentosaceus. RNAcentral describes it as "bacterial SSU rRNA". It matches the Rfam family "Bacterial small subunit ribosomal RNA", at positions 65 to 545 of the family's 1533-position model. Lineage: Bacteria; Bacillati; Bacillota; Bacilli; Lactobacillales; Lactobacillaceae. The record is from RNAcentral.
UACUUGUACUGAUUGAGAUUUUAACACGAAGUGAGUGGCGAACGGGUGAGUAACACGUGGGUAACCUGCCCAGAAGUAGGGGAUAACACCUGGAAACAGAUGCUAAUACCGUAUAACAGAGAAAACCGCAUGGUUUUCUUUUAAAAGAUGGCUCUGCUAUCACUUCUGGAUGGACCCGCGGCGUAUUAGCUAGUUGGUGAGGUAAAGGCUCACCAAGGCAGUGAUACGUAGCCGACCUGAGAGGGUAAUCGGCCACAUUGGGACUGAGACACGGCCCAGACUCCUACGGGAGGCAGCAGUAGGGAAUCUUCCACAAUGGACGCAAGUCUGAUGGAGCAACGCCGCGUGAGUGAAGAAGGGUUUCGGCUCGUAAAGCUCUGUUGUUAAAGAAGAACGUGGGUAAGAGUAACUGUUUACCCAGUGACGGUAUUUAACCAGAAAGCCACGGCUAACUACGUGCCAGCAGCCGCGGUAAUACGUAGGUGGCAAGCGUUAUC